This 253-nucleotide ribosomal RNA is filed under the name uncultured bacterium. RNAcentral's name for it is "partial 16S ribosomal RNA". It matches the Rfam family "Bacterial small subunit ribosomal RNA", at positions 524 to 776 of the family's 1533-position model. The record is from RNAcentral.
UACGUAGGGGGCGAGCGUUGUCCGGAAUCAUUGGGCGUAAAGAGCGUGUAGGCGGCUUGGCAAGUCUGACGUGAAAUCCCGCGGCUCAACCGCGGUAGGUCGUUGGAAACUGCCUCGCUAGACUCCGGAAGAGGAGAGCGGAAUUCCUGGUGUAGCGGUGGAAUGCGCAGAUAUCAGGAAGAACACCCGUGGCGAAGGCGGCUCUCUGGGACGGUACUGACGCUGAGACGCGAAAGCGUGGGGAGCGAACAGG